RNAcentral lists this transfer RNA (90 nucleotides) under Acidobacteriota bacterium. RNAcentral's name for it is "tRNA-Ser". It matches the Rfam family "tRNA". Rfam says of the family: Transfer RNA (tRNA) molecules are approximately 80 nucleotides in length. Their secondary structure includes four short double-helical elements and three loops (D, anti-codon, and T loops). Lineage: Bacteria; Pseudomonadati; Acidobacteriota. The record is from RNAcentral.
GGAGAGGUGCGAGAGUGGUUGAAUCGGGCGGUCUCGAAAACCGCUGUACUCUUACGGGUACCGUGGGUUCGAAUCCCACCCUCUCCGCCA